GACUCCCGCCGGAGCGGUUGUGACCAACCUACCG
Molecule: small nucleolar RNA, 34 nt
Filed under: Curtobacterium sp. ER1/6
Lineage: Bacteria; Bacillati; Actinomycetota; Actinomycetes; Micrococcales; Microbacteriaceae
Description: Small nucleolar RNA sR10
Source: RNAcentral